RNAcentral lists this ribosomal RNA (256 nucleotides) under uncultured bacterium. RNAcentral describes it as "partial 16S ribosomal RNA". It matches the Rfam family "Bacterial small subunit ribosomal RNA", at positions 524 to 776 of the family's 1533-position model. The record is from RNAcentral.
UACGUAGGGGGCAAGCGUUGUCCGGAAUCAUUGGGCGUAAAGCGCGUGUAGGCGGCUCGGUAAGUCCGCUCUGAAAGUCCAAGGCUCAACCUUGGGAUGCGGGUGGAUACUGCCGGGCUCGAGUCCGGAAGAGGCGAGUGGAAUUCCUGGUGUAGCGGUGAAAUGCGUAGAUAAUCGGGGAGGAAUACCUAUGGCGAAGGCAGGUUACUGGGCCAUCGACUGACGCUGAGCUGCGAAAGCUAGGGGAGCAAACAGG